GGCGUGGUAGCUCAGUUGGUUAGAGCGUUUGAUUCAUAAUCAAGAGGUCGAGAGUUCAAUUCUCUCCCACGCUA
Molecule: transfer RNA, 74 nt
Filed under: Prevotellaceae bacterium
Lineage: Bacteria; Pseudomonadati; Bacteroidota; Bacteroidia; Bacteroidales; Prevotellaceae
Description: tRNA-Met
Rfam family: tRNA
About the family: Transfer RNA (tRNA) molecules are approximately 80 nucleotides in length. Their secondary structure includes four short double-helical elements and three loops (D, anti-codon, and T loops). Further hydrogen bonds mediate the characteristic L-shaped molecular structure. tRNAs have two regions of fundamental functional importance: the anti-codon, which is responsible for specific mRNA codon recognition, and the 3' end, to which the tRNAs corresponding amino acid is attached (by aminoacyl-tRNA synthetases). tRNAs cope with the degeneracy of the genetic code in two manners: having more than one tRNA (with a specific anti-codon) for a particular amino acid; and 'wobble' base-pairing, i.e. permitting non-standard base-pairing at the 3rd anti-codon position.
Source: RNAcentral